CAUUUGGUCUUUACCGUGCAAUCAUGAUGUUUCUGAGCUCUCUGCUUCUGCAGUCUGCAAUACUGGAUGAAUGCUUUGCACAGAAAAUAACACCACUGCAAGGCACAAUAUAUGCUACUGAGGGGAAGACAGUCAUUCUCUCAUGCAAAUAUGAAGGGAGCGUAGAUAAUUUGCUGUGGUAUCGGCAAUAUCCUGGGUCCAGACCUGAAUAUCUGCUACUUGUCUAUGAGUCGUCAACAAAGACUGUAAUAUAUGCAUCUCCUCCUAUCCCAAGACUGGAUGGCAAACUGAAUAUGGGGGAUAAGCAGGUGGAUCUGGAGAUCUCCUCUGCUGCAGUCACAGAUUCUGCUCUGUACUACUGUGCCCUGAGGCCCACAGUGACAGGAAACCCAACGACACUGUACAAAAACCUCUAUGAACCUAUGCAAAUACAGUACAUUAUAAUGGUCAUCAAUGUGGGAGAGCGCAUUUAAAUCACAAUUUCCAAAACAUUUAAAUCUAUACAUAUAUAUACACACACACACAUAUAUAUAUAUAUAUAUAUACAGGGUUGGGAGGGUUACUUUUGAAAUUUAUUCCACUACAGAUUACAGAAUACAUGCUUUAAAAUGUCAUUUGUAACGUAUUCCAUUAGAUUACUCAAGGUCAGUAACGUAUUCUAAAUACUUUGGAUUACUUCUUCAGCACUGGUAGAUUUUUUCACUUUUGACUAUUAAAAUUCUGCCAGUACAGUAAGACAAAAUACACAUGUUAAAAAUACAUUCUCUGAAAAACCUAAAUAUCUUAUACAAUGCUGUUUCUAAAACAAGAUCAAUCAAAUUGAUCUUGUUUUAAGGAUUUUUCAAUAUUUUUAAAGGAAAACAAUACAAAAAUUAUUAUCAAGAAUAUUUUUGCCCUAAUAUCAAAGGUCUUACUAGAAAAAAAGAAAUUAUGAUCCAACGUGAAUUUUCUUGAUAAAAAAAAUAUGAUUGUGCCUGGUAACGUGCAUGUAUAAUGGCUAGAAAUAGCAUUUUAGCUUAGCGUAAAGCUGACAAUUUACACAAGGUUUAUUUCUAUUUCUUCUGCUCCAAACUUACUUCAAACUUACUUCUCUGUCUGCUCGUAUGAAUGUAACACAUCAUAAGAAAGUGUGUCACCGCUGUUCAAAUUCACUUUUUUGAAUUUAUAUGUAUAAAUGUUUUCCAUCUGAAAGGACUAAAUAUUA
Myxocyprinus asiaticus (Chinese sucker) is the source of this 1204-nucleotide non-coding RNA. The record is from the annotation of a RefSeq genome assembly. Lineage: Eukaryota; Metazoa; Chordata; Actinopteri; Cypriniformes; Catostomidae.